AUUGAACGCUGGCGGCAUGCUUUACACAUGCAAGUCGAACGGGGUGAAGGGGCAACUCUUCAUUCAGUGGCGAACGGGUGAGUAAUGCAUCGGAACGUACCUCGUAGUGGGGAUAACUCGGCGAAAGCCGUGCUAAUACCGCAUAUGCUCUACGGAUCUUGUUGGGAAAGAUGGCCUCUCCUUGGAAGCUGUCACCGGAAGAUGAGCCCCGCGGCCCACAGCUAGUUGGUGAGGUAAUGGCGUCACCAAGGCUUAUACGGGUAGGCUGGUCUGAGAGGAUGAUCAGCCACCACUGGGACUGCGACACGGCCCA
RNAcentral lists this ribosomal RNA (313 nucleotides) under uncultured bacterium. RNAcentral describes it as "bacterial SSU rRNA". It matches the Rfam family "Bacterial small subunit ribosomal RNA", at positions 30 to 333 of the family's 1533-position model. The record is from RNAcentral.